RNAcentral lists this ribosomal RNA (253 nucleotides) under uncultured bacterium. RNAcentral's name for it is "partial 16S ribosomal RNA". It matches the Rfam family "Bacterial small subunit ribosomal RNA", at positions 524 to 776 of the family's 1533-position model. The record is from RNAcentral.
UACGUAGGGUGCAAGCGUUGUCCGGAAUUAUUGGGCGUAAAGAGCUCGUAGGCGGUUCGUCGCGUCGGCUGUGAAAUCCCGAGGCUCAACCUCGGGUCUGCAGUCGAUACGGGCGGACUGGAGUACUGCAGAGGAGACUGGAAUUCCUGGUGUAGCGGUGAAAUGCGCAGAUAUCAGGAGGAACACCGGUGGCGAAGGCGGGUCUCUGGGCAGUUACUGACGCUGAGGAGCGAAAGCGUGGGGAGCGAACAGG